CGGUGGACCCACCUGACCCCAUGCCGAACUCAGCAGUGUAACGCCGUAGCUCCGAUGGUAGUGUGGGGUCUCCCCAUGUGAGAGUAGGGAUCUGCCAGGC
This 100-nucleotide ribosomal RNA is filed under the name Enterobacter hormaechei. Lineage: Bacteria; Pseudomonadati; Pseudomonadota; Gammaproteobacteria; Enterobacterales; Enterobacteriaceae. The record is from RNAcentral.